RNAcentral lists this ribosomal RNA (479 nucleotides) under uncultured bacterium. Its description in RNAcentral is "bacterial SSU rRNA". It matches the Rfam family "Bacterial small subunit ribosomal RNA", at positions 28 to 508 of the family's 1533-position model. The record is from RNAcentral.
GAUGAACGCUAGCGGCAGGCUUAACACAUGCAAGUCGAGGGGUAUUGUUCUUCGGAAUGAGAGACCGGCGCACGGGUGCGUAACGCGUAUGCAAUCUACCUUUCACAGAGGGAUAGCCCAGAGAAAUUUGGAUUAAUACCUCAUAGUAUAUAGAGUUGGCAUCAACAUUAUAUUAAAGUCACAACGGUGAAAGAUGAGCAUGCGUCCCAUUAGCUAGUUGGUAAGGUAACGGCUUACCAAGGCAACGAUGGGUAGGGGUCCUGAGAGGGAGAUCCCCCACACUGGUACUGAGACACGGACCAGACUCCUACGGGAGGCAGCAGUGAGGAAUAUUGGUCAAUGGGCGCAAGCCUGAACCAGCCAUGCCGCGUGCAGGAUGACGGUCCUAUGGAUUGUAAACUGCUUUUGUACAGGAAGAAACAACAUUACGUGUAAUGUCUUGACGGUACUGUAAGAAUAAGGAUCGGCUAACUCCGUGC